RNAcentral lists this ribosomal RNA (389 nucleotides) under uncultured bacterium. Its description in RNAcentral is "bacterial SSU rRNA". It matches the Rfam family "Bacterial small subunit ribosomal RNA", at positions 28 to 419 of the family's 1533-position model. The record is from RNAcentral.
GACGAACGCUGGCGGCGUGCUUAACACAUGCAAGUCGAGCGGUAAGGCCCUUUCGGGGGUACACGAGCGGCGAACGGGUGAGUAACACGUGGGUGACCUGCCUUUAGCUCUGGGAUAAGCCUGGGAAACUGGGUCUAAUACCGGAUAUGACCCUAUGGCGCAUGUUGCGGGGUGGAAAGCCUUGUGCGGCUAGGGAUGGGCCCGCGGCCUAUCAGCUUGUUGGUGGGGUGAUGGCCACCAAGGCGACGACGGGUAGCCGGCCUGAGAGGGCGACCGGCCACACUGGGACUGAGACACGGCCCAGACUCCUACGGGAGGCAGCAGUGGGGAAUCUUGCGCAAUGGGCGAAAGCCUGACGCAGCGACGCCGCGUGAGGGAUGACGGCCUGG